ACGGCUCAGUAACACGUGGAUAACCUGCCCUUGGGACCGGCAUAACCCCGGGAAACUGGGGAUAAUUCCGGAUAACGCAUAUGUGCUGGAAUGCUUUAUGCGUAAAAUGGAUUCGUCUGCCCAAGGAUGGGUCUGCGGCCUAUCAGGUAGUAGUGGGUGUAAUGUACCUACUAGCCGACAACGGGUACGGGUUGUGAGAGCAAGAGCCCGGAGAUGGAUUCUGAGACAUGAAUCCAGGCCCUACGGGGCGCAGCAGGCGCGAAAACUUUACAAUGCGGGAAACCGUGAUAAGGGGACACCGAGUGCCAGCAUCAUAUGCUGGCUGUCCGGGUGUGUAAAAUACACCUGUUAGCAAGGGCCGGGCAAGACCGGUGCCAGCCGCCGCGGUAACACCGGCGGCCCGAGUGGUGAUCGUGAUUAUUGGGUCUAAAGGGUCCGUAGCCGGUUUGGUCAGUCCUCCGGGAAAUCUGAUAGCUCAACUAUUAGGCUUUCGGGGGAUACUGCCAGACUUGGAACCGGGAGAGGUAAGAGGUACUACAGGGGUAGGAGUGAAAUCUUGUAAUCCCUGUGGGACCACCUGUGGCGAAGGCGUCUUACCAGAACGGGUUCGACGGUGAGGGACGAAAGCUGGGGGCACGAACCGGAUUAGAUACCCGGGUAGUCCCAGCCGUAAACGAUGCUCGCUAGGUGUCAGGCAUGGCGCGACCGUGUCUGGUGCCGCAGGGAAGCCGUGAAGCGAGCCACCUGGGAAGUACGGCCGCAAGGCUGAAACUUAAAGGAAUUGGCGGGGGAGCAC
This 796-nucleotide ribosomal RNA is filed under the name uncultured Methanosarcina sp. Its description in RNAcentral is "bacterial SSU rRNA". It matches the Rfam family "Archaeal small subunit ribosomal RNA", at positions 85 to 879 of the family's 1478-position model. The record is from RNAcentral. Lineage: Archaea; Methanobacteriati; Methanobacteriota; Methanomicrobia; Methanosarcinales; Methanosarcinaceae.